RNAcentral lists this ribosomal RNA (253 nucleotides) under uncultured bacterium. Its description in RNAcentral is "partial 16S ribosomal RNA". It matches the Rfam family "Bacterial small subunit ribosomal RNA", at positions 524 to 776 of the family's 1533-position model. The record is from RNAcentral.
CACGUAGGGCGCGAGCGUUGUCCGGAAUUAUUGGGCGUAAAGAGCUCGUAGGCGGCCUGUUGCGUCCGCUGUGAAAGCCCGGGGCUUAACCCCGGGUCGGCAGUGGAUACGGGCAGGCUAGAGGUAGGUAGGGGAGAAUGGAAUUCCCGGUGUAGCGGUGAAAUGCGCAGAUAUCAGGAAGAACACCCGUGGCGAAGGCGGCUCUCUGGUACGUGACUGACGCUGAGACGCGAAAGCGUGGGGAGCAAACAGG